AACGAACGCUGGCGGCAUGCCUAACACAUGCAAGUCGAACGAGACCUUCGGGUCUAGUGGCGCACGGGUGCGUAACGCGUGGGAACCUGCCCUUAGGUUCGGAAUAACUCCCCGAAAGGGGUGCUAAUACAGGAUAAUGUCUUCGGACCAAAGAUUUAUCGCCUUUGGAUGGGCCCGCGUUGGAUUAGCUAGUUGGUAGGGUAAAAGCCUAGCAAGGCGACGAUCCAUAGCUGGUCUGAGAGGAUGACCAGCCACACUGGGACUGAGACACGGCCCAGACUCCUACGGGAGGCAGCAGUGGGUAAUAUUGUGCGAUGGGCGAAAGCCUGAUCCAGCAAUGCCGCGUGAGAGAGGAAGGCCUUAGGGUUGUAAAGCUCUUUUACCCGGGAUGAUAAUGACAGUACCGGGAGAAUAAGCUCCGGCUAACUCCGUG
RNAcentral lists this ribosomal RNA (433 nucleotides) under uncultured bacterium. RNAcentral's name for it is "partial 16S ribosomal RNA". It matches the Rfam family "Bacterial small subunit ribosomal RNA", at positions 29 to 507 of the family's 1533-position model. The record is from RNAcentral.